AUGAACGCUAGCGGCAGGCCUAACACAUGCAAGGCGAACGGUAACAUUGAGAAGCUUGCUUCUUAGAUGACGAGUGGCGCACGGGUGCGUAACGCGUAUACAAUCUACCUUUUACAGGGGGAUAGCCUUUAGAAAUGAAGAUUAAUACCCCAUAGUAUAUAUUAAUGGCAUCGUUAAUAUAUUAAAGUUUCGGCGGUAAAAGAUGAGUAUGCGUUCUAUUAGCUAGAUGGUGUGGUAACGGCACACCAUGGCAACGAUAGAUAGGGGCCCUGAGAGGGGGAUCCCCCACACUGGUACUGAGACACGGACCAGACUCCUACGGGAGGCAGCAGUGAGGAAUAUUGCACAAUGGGCGCAAGCCUGAUGCAGCCAUGCCGCGUGUAGGAAGACUGCCCUAUGGGUUGUAAACUGCUUUUAUACGGGAAGAAACCCGCCUACGUGUAGGUGGCUGACGGUACCGUAAGAAUAAGCACCGGCUAACUCCGUGCCAGCAGCCGCGGUAAUACGGAGGGUGCAAGCGUUAUCCGGAAUCAUUGGGUUUAAAGGGUCCGUAGGUGGAUUAAUAAGUCAGAGGUGAAAGCCUGCAGCUUAACUGUAGAAUUGCCUUUGAAACUGUUAAUCUUGAAUUAUUGUGAAGUAGUUAGAAUAUGUAGUGUAGCGGUGAAAUGCAUAGAUAUUACAUAGAAUACCGAUUGCGAAGGCAGAUUACUAACAAUAUAUUGACACUGAUGGACGAAAGCGUGGGUAGCGAACAGGAUUAGAUACCCUGGUAGUCCACGCCGUAAACGAUGGAUACUAGCUGUUCGGGAUUUAUCUCAGUGGCCAAGCGAAAGUGAUAAGUAUCCCACCUGGGGAGUACGUUCGCAAGAAUGAAACUCAAAGGAAUUGACGGGGGCCCGCACAAGCGGUGGAGCAUGUGGUUUAAUUCGAUGAUACGCGAGGAACCUUACCAGGGCUUAAAUGUAGAUUGACAGGGCUAGAGAUAGCUAUUUCUUCGGACUACUUACAAGGUGCUGCAUGGUUGUCGUCAGCUCGUGCCGUGAGGUGUCAGGUUAAGUCCUAUAACGAGCGCAACCCCUACCGUUAGUUGCCAGCAUGUAAAGAUGGGGACUCUAGCGGGACUGCCGGUGCAAACCGUGAGGAAGGUGGUGAUGACGUCAAAUCAUCACGGCCCUUACGUCCUGGGCUACACACGUGCUACAAUGGCCGGUACAGAGGGAAGCUACCCUGCAAAGGGAUGCGGAUCUAUAAAGCCGGUCACAGUUCGGAUCGGGGUCUGCAACUCGACCCCGUGAAGCUGGAAUCGCUAGUAAUCGGAUAUCAGCCAUGAUCCGGUGAAUACGUUCCCGGGCCUUGUACACACCGCCCGUCAAGCCAUGGAAGCUGGGAGUGCCUGAAGUCGGUCACCGCAAGGAGCCGCCUAGGGUAAAACUAGUAACUAGGGCUA
This 1447-nucleotide ribosomal RNA is filed under the name uncultured prokaryote. RNAcentral describes it as "partial 16S ribosomal RNA". It matches the Rfam family "Bacterial small subunit ribosomal RNA". The record is from RNAcentral.